Molecule: ribosomal RNA, 483 nt
Filed under: uncultured bacterium
Lineage: Bacteria
Description: partial 16S ribosomal RNA
Rfam family: Bacterial small subunit ribosomal RNA
Source: RNAcentral
GAUGAACGCUGGCGGCGUGCCUAACACAUGCAAGUCGAACGGAGUCUUUUUGGCAAUCUCUUCUGACAUGGAAUUCUCAACUUAUUGGCGGCCGGGUGGUUAACGCGUGAGCAAUCUGCCGUUAAGAGGGGGAUAACAGUCGGAAACGGCUGCUAAUACCGCAUCAAACAUUUAAUUCGCAUGUUUUUAAUGCCAAAGAAGCAAUACGCUUUUAGAUGUGCUCGCGUCUGAUUGGCUAGUUGGCGGGGUAACGGCCCAACAAGGCGACGAUCAGUAGCCGGACUGAGAGGUGGAACGGCCACAUUGGGAAUGAGACACGGCCCAGACGACUACGGGAGGCAGCAGUGGGGAAUAUUGCGCAAUGGGGGAAACGCUGACGCAGCAACGCCGCGUGAUUGAAGAAGGCCUUCGGGUUGUAAAGAUCUUUAAUCAGGGACGAAACAAAUGACGGUACCUGAAGAAUAAGCUCCGGCUAACUACGUG